Molecule: ribosomal RNA, 200 nt
Filed under: uncultured bacterium
Lineage: Bacteria
Description: partial 16S ribosomal RNA
Rfam family: Bacterial small subunit ribosomal RNA
Source: RNAcentral
AGAGUUUGAUCAUGGCUCAGGACGAACGCUGGCGGCGUGCUUAACACAUGCAAGUCGAGCGGAAAGGCCCUUCGGGGUACUCGAGCGGCGAACGGGUGAGUAACACGUGAGCAACCUGCCCCUGGCUCUGGGAUAGCCUCCGGAAACGGGGAUUAAUACCGGAUAUGACGCUGCCCUGCAUGGGGUGGUGUGGAAAGUUU